This 980-nucleotide long non-coding RNA is filed under the name Homo sapiens (human). Its description in RNAcentral is "HSALNT0351712". Lineage: Eukaryota; Metazoa; Chordata; Mammalia; Primates; Hominidae. The record is from RNAcentral.
CAGGUUAAGAGUUAGGCAUCUCCUUGAGAUGUCCUUAUUUGCUUAGGUCCUGCAUGAAAGCACAUAGUGCCCUAGCUCUUUUGAAAAGCAGGAAAAUCCUGAAAGAAAGCAACACAGAGCUUUCUCCAUUGUGAGGUAGUGAGGAGGGGAUUAGGACACUAGGUGAGAAAGGACAGGCCUAGACAAUGAAGCAAGGGGCGAGUGGGUGGAUGGGUAAAACCACCUGCUCCUCAAAACAGCCAGGCUCUGAGAUGAAGCAGGAAUCUGCACUUAAACCGAGGCUGGAUCCAUCCUAGGGAUUCAAGCCUGUGUUGUCAAGCGAAAACAGAAAAGAGAAGGGAAUUCCACCUUUGCCCACUGAGAACACAUCUAUGCUGAGAACACAUCUACCCAACUCCUCUGUCACAACCCCUGUGAGAAGGUUCUGCCAUCUCCCAGCCCUGAAGAUUGUGAGCUCCCUGAUGGCCCUGGGCCUCCCUCCCGACAGCUGAGGCCCUUCCUGGAUCUCUACACGUCACCAAGCUAAGCCAGUGUUCCAAAAUAGUCUCCUGAACAAUGAUGACAACUGCACAGUUAUUUUGGAAGAACUUCCUGGCAGUGAUGGCAGUGGAACAUUGGAAACAGAGAUGAACAGGAGGUGGGAAGAGGAGGCUAAGUACAUGUAGGCCUAAAAGUCUCUGCCUUGGGAGAUUUUUAACAGUCCUGGAUGGAGGAGAAACAAGAUCUUAUAUUGGACACUGAUUCAUAGCAUAUACAGCCUUCUGAGGAACUUCACUCCACCCCUGCAAGAAAUUGCCACCUAGCUGAUGUCAUAACUGAGACUUCAAAAUGCUAUUCCACUGUUUUAUCAAGCCAAUUGCUUCAGGAUGAUGGGGAAGAUAAUCAGACCAGCAAAUUCCACGAGCAUGGGUCCGUUGCUCUGUUUCUUUUGCUGUAAAGUGAGUUCCUUGAUCAGAAACAAUGCAAUGUGGAAUACUACA